This 467-nucleotide ribosomal RNA is filed under the name uncultured bacterium. RNAcentral's name for it is "partial 16S ribosomal RNA". It matches the Rfam family "Bacterial small subunit ribosomal RNA", at positions 29 to 507 of the family's 1533-position model. The record is from RNAcentral.
ACGAACGCUGGCGGCGUGCUUAACACAUGCAAGUCGAACGGAAAGGCCCUGCUUUUGUGGGGUGCUCGAGUGGCGAACGGGUGAGUAACACGUGAGUAACCUGCCCUUGACUUUGGGAUAACUUCAGGAAACUGGGGCUAAUACCGGAUAGGAGCUCCUGCUGCGUGGUGGGGGUUGGAAAGUUUCGGCGGUUGGGGAUGGACUCGCGGCUUAUCAGCUUGUUGGUGGGGUAGUGGCUUACCAAGGCUUUGACGGGUAGCCGGCCUGAGAGGGUGACCGGCCACAUUGGGACUGAGAUACGGACCAGACUCCUACGGGAGGCAGCAGUGGGGAAUAUUGCACAAUGGGCGGAAGCCUGAUGCAGCAACGCCGCGUGCGGGAUGACGGCCUGCGGGUUGUAAACCGCUUUCGCCUGUGACGAAGCGUGAGUGACGGUAAUGGGUAAAGAAGCACCGGCUAACUACGUG